Molecule: ribosomal RNA, 482 nt
Filed under: Blastocystis sp.
Lineage: Eukaryota; Bigyra; Opalinata; Blastocystidae
Description: SSU rRNA
Rfam family: Eukaryotic small subunit ribosomal RNA
Source: RNAcentral
GGAGGUAGUGACAAUAAAUCACAAUGCGGAACAAUGUUUUGCAAUUGGAUUGAGAACAACGUACAAACCUUAUCGAUAAACAAUUGGAGGGCAAGUCUGGUGCCAGCAGCCGCGGUAAUUCCAGCUCCAAUAGCGUAUAUUAACGUUGUUGCAGUUAAAAAGCUCGUAGUUGAAAUGAAGGGUAGUUGUGUAAUGAAUACAUUCGUGUAUUUUGUUAUUCAAGUACCCUCCUUCUAAAUUCGAUAUAUGAGUAUUAAUUUACUUGUAUAUGGUUUUAGACAUUUACUGUGAGAAAAUUAGAGUGUUCAAAGCAGGCAUUUGCUUGAAUAUAUUAGCAUGGAAUAAUCAUGUAUGAUUUUCAUGAUGUAUUUGAUUGGUUUGGUUGAUGAGAAUAAGAUUAAAAGGGACAGUUGGGGGUAUUCAUAUUCAAUAGUCAGAGGUGAAAUUCUCGGAUUUAUGGAAGAUGAACAAGUGCGAAAGCA